AAUUAUCAAACCUUUCUGGUUAUUUUCUGAAUAGCUAGUCUGGCUUGGAUUUAUGGGAGUUUGCAGGCUUCUUCAAAAGUCAGCUCUUCUUAAAUAUAUUAGCAGGACAUUUGCCUAACAAAAUCAGUUUGGUGUUGAUAAACUAUCUAUACCAUUCAAAAGUUGGCGUUGUUUAGCUUUCUAAUAGUCUGUUUAGACAAUUUGAUUGACA
Molecule: unclassified non-coding RNA, 211 nt
Filed under: Entoloma prunuloides
Lineage: Eukaryota; Fungi; Basidiomycota; Agaricomycetes; Agaricales; Entolomataceae
Description: partial internal transcribed spacer 2
Source: RNAcentral